This 486-nucleotide ribosomal RNA is filed under the name uncultured bacterium. RNAcentral's name for it is "partial 16S ribosomal RNA". It matches the Rfam family "Bacterial small subunit ribosomal RNA", at positions 28 to 507 of the family's 1533-position model. The record is from RNAcentral.
GAUGAACGCUGGCGGCGUGCCUAAUACAUGCAAGUCGAACGCUGGAAAUCUAUCUUGCUAGAUUGAAGGAGUGGCGAACGAGUGAGUAAUACAUAAGCAACCUACCCACGAAGACUGGGAUAAUCUCUGGAAACGGGGACUAAUACCGGAUAGGUAAUCGGAAGGCAUAUUCUGAUUAUUAAAGGGUAAAAACACUGGUGGAUGGGCUUAUGGUGCAUUAGUUAGUUGGUGACGUAACGGCCCACCAAGACGAUGAUGCGUAGCCGGCCGGAUAGGGUGAAACGCCACAAUUGGGACGAGACACGGACCAGACUCGUACGGAAGGCAGCAGUAGGUAAGUUUCGGCGAGGGGGGAUACCCUGACCGAGCCACGCCGAGUGAGAGAUGACUGCCUUCGGGUUGUAAAGCUAUGUUGUAAGGGAAGAACGGUAGAUAGAGAAUAUCUAAAUGACGGUACCUUAUCAGAAAGCCACGGCUAACUACGUG